UACGUAGGUGGCAAGCGUUGUCCGGAUUUACUGGGUGUAAAGGGCGUGCAGCCGGGACUGCAAGUCAGAUGUGAAAUCCACGGGCUUAACCCGCGAACUGCAUUUGAAACUGCGGAUCUUGAGUACCGGAGAGGUUAUCGGAAUUCCUUGUGUAGCGGUGAAAUGCGUAGAUAUAAGGAAGAACACCAGUGGCGAAGGCGGAUAACUGGACGGCAACUGACGGUGAGGCGCGAAAGCGUGGGGAGCAAACAGG
RNAcentral lists this ribosomal RNA (253 nucleotides) under uncultured bacterium. RNAcentral's name for it is "partial 16S ribosomal RNA". It matches the Rfam family "Bacterial small subunit ribosomal RNA", at positions 524 to 776 of the family's 1533-position model. The record is from RNAcentral.